AUUGAACGCUGGCGGCAGGCCUAACACAUGCGAGUCGAACGGUAACAGAAAGCAGCUUGCUGCUUUGCUGACGAGUGGCGGACGGGUGAGUAAUGUCUGGGAAACUGCCUGAUGGAGGGGGAUAACUACUGGAAACGGUAGCUAAUACCGCAUAACGUCGCAAGACCAAAGAGGGGGACCUUCGGGCCUCUUGCCAUCGGAUGUGCCCAGAUGGGAUUAGCUAGUAGGUGGGGUAACGGCUCACCUAGGCGACGAUCCCUAGCUGGUCUGAGAGGAUGACCGCCCACACGAGAGCUGGGCCACGGUCCAGACUCCUGCGGGAGGCAGCAGUGGGGAAUAUUGCGCAAUGGGCGCAAGCCUGAUGCAGCCAUGCGGCGUGUAUGAAGAAGACCUUCGGGUUGUAAAGUACUUUCAGCGGGGAGGAAGGGAGUAAAGUUAAGACCUUUGCUCAUUGACGUUACCCGCAGAAGAAGCACCGGCUAACUCCGUG
This 490-nucleotide ribosomal RNA is filed under the name uncultured bacterium. Its description in RNAcentral is "partial 16S ribosomal RNA". It matches the Rfam family "Bacterial small subunit ribosomal RNA", at positions 30 to 507 of the family's 1533-position model. The record is from RNAcentral.